RNA transcript from Triticum aestivum (bread wheat), 4608 nucleotides. It is a transcript of the gene named protein HASTY 1, with no coding region annotated. The transcript has 24 exons. NCBI's taxonomy places the organism in Eukaryota, Viridiplantae, Streptophyta, Magnoliopsida, Poales, Poaceae. The record is from RefSeq and is a predicted model, not a curated record.
GGCCAGUUCUCUUCUUUCCGCCCUUAAACCCACGCAACGCAUCUCCGGUUGCGACGAACACCGAAACCCUAGCUUGUCCUCCUCCCUCACACUCACCCACUCUCUCUCUCUCUCUCUACUUCCUCCCCUUAAACCCACGCAACGCAUCUCCGGCCACGACGAGCACGGAAACCCUAGCACCCCCCCGGCUCCGCACGCCAAUGCCUCGCCCCCGUACCCUGGUAUCCACCUCCCGCUAGCCCCCCUUCGCAUUCCAGAAGGAAUACCCCAUCCAAAGAUGGCCGCGGACCCUGCCGCGGACUCCGUGGCUGCGGCGAUCUCCGCUGCGAUGGACUGGCGAUCUUCUCCCGACGCCCGUAACGCCGCCUUCGCCUAUCUCGAAUCGGUCAAAAGUGGAGAUGUCCGAGCGUUAGCGAGCACAUCUUUUCUAUUGGUCCGGAAGCACCAGGCUUCAGAGAUCCGACUACAUGGGUUUAAAAUGUUGCAGCACUUGGUGAGAUUGAGAUGGGAGGAACUCAGUGUUGCAGAACGAAAUGAAUUUGCUAACUUGACCAUCAAUUUGUUGUCAGAGGUUAUUGGUCCUCAUGAGGAGUGGGCUUUGAAGAGUCAAACAGCUGCAUUAGUAGCAGAGGUAGUUAGAAGAGAGGGGGUUACAUUGUUAAAUACAUUACUUCCCUCUAUUGUUUCUCUGUCUAACGCUGGCCCUGUUGAGGCUGAGCUAGGUUCUAUGAUUCUAAGGUGGCUUCCAGAGGAUAUCACUGUUCACAACGAGGAUUUAGAAGGUGAUAAACGACGAGCACUGUUGCGUGGCCUUACCGAGGCACUGCCACAAAUUCUACCUCUGUUAUAUUCUCUAGUUGAGAAACAUUUUGUAGCCGCUUUAAGCGAGCACACGAGGCAGCAAAUGGAGUUGGCUAAACAUCAUGUAGGGACAGUAACAGCUGUUCUAAAUGCCAUCAAUGCAUACGCUGAAUGGGCUCCUGUAACAGAUCUUGCCAAAUAUGGUUUAAUUCAUGGAUGUGGGUCCUUGCUUUCUUACAGUGAUUUUCGCCUCCUUGCUUGCGAGUUCUUUAAAAUAGUUUGUCACAGAAAACGACCUGCAGAUGUUGCAGUUUGCGAGUAUGAUGCAGCAAUGAGCAACAUUUUCCAGGUGUUGAUGAACAUCUCCCAAGAAUUUUUAACCAAAUCUAGGAUGCAGCCCAUGGCUAUUGAUGAAAGUGAAUACGAGUUUGGAGUUUGUAUUUGCGAGACAGUAGUUGCUCUAGGUUCUUCUAACAUGCAGUGCAUACUGGUUGAUGGAGCUAGAACUUCACACUUCCUACAACAAAUGCUGGAAUAUUACCAACAUUACAGGAUUGCACUCCAUUUCCAAUCUUUGUUGUUUUGGCUGGUGGCAUUGAGGGAACCAUCGAAAGCUAAGUCUGUUGCUCGUGUUUCUGGUGAUACCUCUCCUGCUGGAAAUUUUGGUUCUGUUGGUGUUAGUUCAACUGAAAAGGAGAAAAAAGGGGUGUCAUUAUUUAUUACCGAUGAAAUAUACAGUACACUAUUGGACGUUUCUUUCAAAAGAAUGCUUAAGAAAAGUGCGAAUUCAUCUUCAAGUCUGUUGGAACUAUGGAAUGAAGAGCUUGAGGGGAAGAGUGACUUCAGCAACUAUCGUACCAAAUUGCUGGAUCUCAUAAGAGUUAUUGCUUCUCAAAGGCCUGUUAUUGCUGCAGCAAACAUUGUACAGAGAAUAAAUGUUGUUUCUGGAGAUGCUAAUCAAACAACAAAAUCCCCCCAGGAUCUUGACGCUAUGGUAGGUGCCCAGCUGGGUCUUGAAACAGUUGUUAGUGCCAUAUUUGAUGGCUCGGGUGAUUAUGCAAAGACUGACCAUGAGGCAAAAUUCCAAAUUCACAGGACUUUUGAAGGCUUACUUCAGCAGCUUCUUUCUUUGAAGUGGACAGAACCUAGCCUCAUAGUUAUUCAUGGUCAUUAUUUGGAUUCUCUGGGUCUGUACUUGAGACAUUAUCCAGAUGUAGUUGCUAGUGUUGUGAACAAGCUUUUUGAACUAUUGACAUCUCUCCCGAUUACAAUUCAGCAACAGGGUCCAUCAAAUAAUUCCCGGCAAGCUAGGUUACAGAUUUGCUCAUCAUUCAUUCGCAUAUCAAGAGCUGCUGAUAAAGCACUUCUGCCUCAUAUGAAGAACAUUGCCGAUACCAUGGCUUACCUUCAAGGAGAGGGCCGCUUACUACGGGCUGAGCAUGAUCACCUAUGUGAAGCGUUUCUUAUUAUGGCCUCCUCGUCUGGGAUUCAACAGCAACAGGAAGUCCUGGCCUGGUUACUUGAACCUCUUAACAAAACAUGGACCCAAGUGGAAUGGCAAACUGCAUACUUGUCUGACCCAUCUGGCUUGACAGACAUGUUUGCUGACACCCAAUUUAUGUGGUCAAUUUAUCACACGGUUACGUUCUUUGAGAAGGCACUCAAACGGAGCGGUACCAAAAGGUCUACAACAGCUCCGCAAGCAGCCAUCACCACAACAACAGCAACUGGUUAUCUGCAUCCGAUGUCUUCACAUCUAUCAUGGAUUCUGCCCCCUCUCUUAAGGCUGCUGAGAUGUAUACAUGCACUUUGGGCUGAGCCAUUUGCUCAGUCGCUGACAGGAGAAAUCAAAGCGGCCAAAAGCAUGACUAUCUCGGAGCAGGCCAGUCUGCUGGGAGAGACAAGUAAACCUACCAAGGGCCAGGUUGCACCUGCUGAUGGAUUACUGGAUGUUCAAAGGGAGGGAGAGUCUAAGGAAAAUAACAUAAGAAACUGGUUACGUGGCGUCCGUGACAGUGGGUACAAUCUUAUAGGAUUAGCAGCUACUCUUGGUGAGGCAUUUUUCCGAUGCAUAGAUGGUUCCUCUGUCAUCCUUGCUCUUAUGGAGAAUGUGCAAGUUAUGGAGUUUCGUCAUUUGCGCCAACUCAUGCACCUUGCUGUUGUUCCUUUGGUUAAAUAUUGCCCUGCUGAACUAUGGCAGAUAUGGACAGCGAACCUUUUGCAGCCAAUAUUUGUUCAUUGUCAGCAAGCUCUUGAUUAUUCAUGGUCCAGUCUUCUACGCGAGGGACGAGCUAAGGUUCCUGAUAGCUUCGGUAAUAUUUCUGGGUCAGAACUUAAGGUUGAGGUGAUGGAAGAGAAGCUGUUACGAGACUUGACUCGUGAAGUUUGUUCUGUGCUUUGGGUUUUAGCAUUACCUGGUUUGAACAGUGGACUUCCAUCUUUGGAACAACUUGGACCUGUCAACCGGAUUGAUUCUUCUCUUAAAAGUCUGGAGUCAUUUGCUUCCAGCUCUCUUACUGGAUUUCUUAUGCUUAAUGUUGGCACUGCCCUUCCUGCUUUGAGAAUAACUGUUGAAGUGUUCAGUUGGACAGAUAGUGAAGCAGUGACUAAAGUAAUACCCUUUUGUGGUGCAUUGAUUCACCUUGCCGUUGCAACAAACCGGGCUGAGCUGAGGCAGUUUGUUGGGAACGAUCUAUUUUCUUCUAUAAUACAGGGCUUAUCUGUUGAGUUGAAUGCCGUUGUUAGUGCAGAGCUUAUUGGACUUUGUCGAGAAAUAUAUCUUUAUCUGUCAGACAAAGAUUCUGCACCUAAACAGUUAGGUCCUGGUACAAUACUACUACAACAAUACUCGUCAAAAGAUGAGGUGACCAUGAUGAUGUUACAAGUUGCAAGGGAGCACUACUGCAACUGGAGCCAUGAAGAGUUGACUUGCAGGAGCAGCAAUGGCGUCCCACAGUAGCUGCAGGUCUGAGACCAAAUAAAUCCUCCAGGUCUGACGUAUGGAUGGCUUCAAGGUGGUAGAGAAUGUGGGGUUAUAUUUGGACUUGAGUUAUAAUCAUGUGGAUAGCGUACAAGUCAGUGUCCGUGCCGGACACUUGGCACCCCAAGCCUCCUAUAUAGGGGGGGUGGGGGGGGGAUGCCGUAACUCAUGAAACGUGAUACCAACGACCACGCGAGGUGAUGCAGCAUGCCCCGGAUCCUAGGCAGCUACUGUUGCGGUAUGGCGUCGUCUAUGAUCUUGCAUGGUGUGGUUUUUUCGAACAUUGCGGUGGGAACAUGAGGUUCUUCUAUCCCUCUCAGACAUGAAGCAGGAAGAUUUGCUAGCUUUUGAUGAUUGUUUGAGCAAAACUGCUAGUCCAAAAGAGCAGAAGCAACAUAUGAGGAACUUACUUCUGCUAGCUACAGGGAACAAGUUAAAAGCUCUUGCCUCUCAAAAGACCACCAAUAUUAUCACAAAUGUUACAACUCGAAAUCGGGGCACUGUAGCACACAAUGGACCCAGUGCUGAAGAAGACGAUCACAUUGGAUUAGCUGGACUAUCAUAGGAAUGACCUGCUGAAGUUGUGGUUGUGUACAAAAUGACGAAACGAUGGUUUUAAACUUGGUAUUGUGGUAAAUAAUUGUGAAAAACCAGAUUCUUGCAGCAUUUUUUUUCUUGAAUAUGCAAGCAUGCGUAUCAUAUAUUAAAGGAGGGUGAAGAAUCCAUCCACAUCAAAAUGUUACAUAUAACAGUUAGGGCUGGGCAUUCGGUUCCCCCAACUGAUUGGUUCGGUGCUUCGGGUAAUUGAGAAAUUUGGUUUACUGAAA